GGGGUUUCACCAUGUUGGUCAGGCUGGUUUCAAACUCCUGACCUCGUGAUCUGCCUGCCUUGAAUCCAUUAUUUACAGAUUGCCUGAUUUCCUCCCUUCAUAAAUAUUUCAUGUCAGAUACUGUGCUUUGUCAGAGUAAAAAGCCUGGAUUGCGCCUUCAGGGAGCGCAGAGUCUUGUGGGAUGGGAGAUGUAUAACAAUUUCCAUGCACACUAAGACUGUGCAGAGCAGGAGGUGGCCAACUUUUUCUUAAAGGUCAGGAUGACAAAUGUUUGGUUUUCUGGGUGUGCUGGGGAGUCCCCAAGACCACCCUCAGCUAAAUGAUUUUCUAUGGGGACUCAUAGGACUCAGCACAUAGCUGUACUCACUGCUAUGAUUUAUGACAGCAAAAGGAUACAAAACAAACCCAAAAGGAAAAAGGAGAAAGGCUCCUGGACAAAUCCUGGGGAAACCAGGUCCAAGUUUCCAAGGGUUCCCUCCCAGGGGCGUUGCACAGGACAUGCUCAAUUCCUCUGAGCUGUGACAACACAUGGGAAAUGCUGUCUACCAGAGAAUUACGUUAGAGACGCAGCACCAGGGUUUUUUACUGGGGGCUGUCACAUAGGCAGCCUCUGCCUGGUAUGCACCAAAAUCCCAGGCUUCCAGAAGGAAAGUGGGUGGUAAACCUAGGCUGUUUUGUUUGUAUAAUCAGAUUAAGCACAGAGAGCCACUCUUAUCAGUUCUGCUGGGAAUCCUGAGACCCAGGCUCUUAGAUGCCAACCUCAUAAGCAAGACUUUCAAAGGACAGCAGCCAGGCCAGCUCUGCAAACUCCUUUCUGCACAGAGGACCAUACAGCCUCUGAAAACUCAACGCUCCUACUGUAGUGCAAACACAUCCCAGAAAAAAAAAAAAAAAACAUAAACAAAUGGCUGUGUUUCAUUAACACAUCAUUUACAAAAGUAGGAGUCUCCCAUGGGCUGUAGUUUGGGUCUGGUCUAGGGGAAAGCCACGUGACUCUUGGCCUUCAAUGUUUUCAGCAACUUCCCUCAGCCCUGAGCCAUGGUUCCCAGUCAGGGCUCCGAGUGAAAAGUCUUAGGGUUCUGUGAACUCUUCUCCUCACAUUGCCAAAGGCAUUAACAUGCUGCUACCCUCAUCACUAGUGCUCCCCUGCCCCAGUGAUUACGCCUCAGAAACAAACCAAGAUACCACACUUUUCCACUUUAGGUUAGAAUAUUCAGGGUGUUCUCUCUGGUUAUCUUGACAUGUUCAAAAAUUCUCAUUGGCAAAUAUUUUUAAUUCAAAAUGGCAAAAUUAUGUAUUUCUUGCUUUAGCAAAAGAGGGUGGUUGACAACUACUUUUUAAACCUGUGUGCUAGGCCAUAAAAGGGACAGAAGUGGAAAGAAGGCAGUGCAGGUGAGGAGGGUGAGUAAGCGUGGUCCUUCACGGCAGAUUCUUCCUGAAGCUCAGAAGUCUCUUUAGGCUCUUGGGAGGGGGUGAAGGGCAGGCAGGGUGUUCCCUUUCGCCAGUGUAUCAGUCAAUGCUUCAACAGGAAAGAGACGGCCCACUUUAGUAGGGGGAGACCCGAGGAGUAUGUAAUAAAGGCACCAUUUUCAAAGGUGUGGGUAGGGUGUCAGGGAACCACAAGGGAUAGGAUGAUUCCCUGAGGAAAGUAACAUGAAGCAGUUAGUACCCCUACGCCCAGUGGAAUGAGAGGACAGAGCUGUCACCAGAACGUGUAAGAGAAAAGUCAUGGAGAGAAAGCUGAGAGGAGGGCUUUGGGGUCAUGGCAAGUGAUGCUGAAUAAACACCCCAAGUUCACUCUUUCCUCCCCACUUCAAUCUCAUGCUAGGUCAGGCCACUGGCAGAACCCAACUGGAAACCAGAGAUUUCCAUUGAAAUGUUCCAUAACGUCAGCCUCUCAGGGUGGAGGGAGGUGGGUGGAGAGUGUGUCUGGAGGGAGGAGCAGAAGACGCUCAUUACAGCUAAGAUCUGCUCUCUGUGGUCACUUUACAAGUUAUCAAGCUUGGCAAAUCCAUGGUAAUUGAUAUCAAAAUGACUAAAAUGACUGAGUUUUUCUAUAACAAAGGUGAAGGAUUCACUGUGACCAAAGUUCUGAGCAGAGGCCAAAUGUGGGAUGUCCAGCUUUGAUGUGGAAAUGUAACCAGAACAAGAGGCAAGGGGAGCCUCUUCAAAGCUAUCCUGGGCAAGAGGUGGUUUGCUCAUCAGAAUCCUGAGACUGUCCAUUGUGUGGCCUGGAUUUCCAGGUCACCACCGAAGAAAGCUGAUGUCCUGUGGCUUCUAGUUUAUUGGAGUUGAGGGAGAACUUGGCAACUGGUAGGAUGGAGAAAAUUAAACAGCCAUAGAGUUAGACAUCACACCCAUACCUCUAUUCAACUAACAAGUAAUCUCUAAGUUGGGAUCUAGGACUACAGAAAUGAGAAAAGCCAUGGUCCCUGUCCUGGAGAAGCCAUGCCGCAUUAGGGAAACCAACAACAUAUCAGGAAACAAUGACCCCAAUCACAUGAAUAUGAGAAGUGCCCCUGCUUCUUGUACUCACCUACCCCAACUCUUACUACUUUGAAAAUAGAAACGAGAACCCACCAUAUCCAGAAAGACUGCCCUGAAUAUUCAACUGUGUGGAGCCUCAGCCUGCCACCUGGGCCUCUCACCAAAAGGUGCACACCUGUUUAUACCCCUGGGUUGAAUGCACUGUGACCUCCUUAGGACACUGUAGCUCUUAAUCUCCCUGCAUGCCAGGACCCAGAUUUCCUGAGGUUUGGGGAUGUGGGCUGUGAGACAAGGACAGCCAGGGAGCCAGUCAUUCCCAUGUUUUUCUUCUUCUGUCAUCAAAGCCUGGUUCUUGUCUCUGGAGCAGACUUGGCAGACACAAGUGGCUACUCAGGUAACAGCUGAAAUCAGUUUUAUCCACUUAGCUGCUCUGAAGAGUUUAGGGAGAUGCUGGGAGAGACGUGUGCACUUACUAUCUGGUACAGCUGUCAUCAGAGCUGUUUAUUGCUCCAGAGUCUGGGAAAAUCAUAAUGGGGCAGACGAUUGUUAUUUAAAAACAAAACAACAAAGUGCCUCUUGACUGGCGUAAUCACAAGGCUGGCAGAUCACAGAGGGAGGUUCGGCAAAGAGGAUUUUCUCAAGUCCUCACAUGGACAUCUCAGAAGCCCAGCCUAGCGGAUUAAAUAAACAAAUUGCUCGAACACAAAAAAGGUGUUCAAGAUGCCCUACCUUCAGUGCCUGCAGUCCCAGCAAGCAUAGCUAAGCUUUCUGAGCAAUGGGGACUCUGGAACGUUUAAGGCAAAAAGUGACUUAGAACGAUGGUCCUCAGUGGAGGAAUGUUAUAAACCAGGGGCUAUCUGGAAUGCCUGGAGACAUUUUUGGUUGUCAUGAUGGUGGGGGUGGUAGGAGGUGUCUAGUGGCUGGUCUGGGAUCCCACUCAACAUCCUAAGUGCACAGGACAGCCCCCCACAGCAAAGAAUUAUCUAGCCAAAAUGUCAGUAGUGCCGCUGUUGAGAUACCCCAACUUAAGGUAUAAUAAAAGCUAACAUGUUUUUACCUCUUACACUGUGCCAGACAUGAAAUGACUUACAUGCUUUAUCUUGUUUAAUCUUAGCAAUAACUCAUGAGGCAGGUACUAAUAUUAUCCCUUACCUUACAGACGAGAAAGCUGAGGCACGGAGACCAUAAGCAAUGUUUCCAAAGUCGCACGGUUGGAGGAAGAGCAAAAUCACCUGCAAGGUUAUGAUGAAUUUUAAGAAGUUUGAAAACCACUUCUCUGAAGCAGGAGGCUUCUGUCCAGGAGGAGGACGUUGCAGAUGAGUAGGCCUUUGUUAGCUUCUACUCCACCAAAGAGCCUUUGCAAACAUGCAGAUGAGAAUCUCAACCUCCUGCCUCCCGCCUCCAACCUCCACCAGGCCCCACUCCCUUGCAUUCUUUGAUAUGGCCAAUCUACGUAUUUUUAUUUUUAAAUUAUUAUGUCAAUAGUUUUUGGGGAACAAGUGGUGUUCGGUUGUAUAAAUUCUUUAGUAGUGCUUUCUGAGAUUUUGGUGCACCCAGCACCCAAGCAGUGGAUACUCUGCCUAAUGUGUAGGGUUUUUAUUUUUUAAUUUUUUGACAGUCUCACUCUGUCGCUCA
Molecule: long non-coding RNA, 4122 nt
Filed under: Homo sapiens (human)
Lineage: Eukaryota; Metazoa; Chordata; Mammalia; Primates; Hominidae
Description: HSALNT0361423
Source: RNAcentral